RNAcentral lists this long non-coding RNA (920 nucleotides) under Cricetulus griseus (Chinese hamster). RNAcentral's name for it is "lncRNA (ENSCGRG00015032253.1)". Lineage: Eukaryota; Metazoa; Chordata; Mammalia; Rodentia; Cricetidae. The record is from RNAcentral.
CGAGGAGCUCCGAGAUGGGAGUGGUGCUUAGCCAUUCUGACUUCAGUAGGACCAGAGAUGAUUGGGUGGGAUCUGUCUCCUCUGCUUCGAUGGAAAGUCUGAUGGGGCAGAGCAGCCAGCCAGUGGCUGUAAGACAACCUGGAAAGGUGUCCUCAAUGAACUCACACUUUAGAGAACCAAGCUGCAGCCCAGUGACUCUUGAUCUACAUCUGCCUUGACUCACAAUGCCCCAGCCUUCAUCCAACAGCUGGUAGAAGCAGACACCCACAGCUAAACACUGAACUGAACUGGAAUCCAGUUGCCGAGAAGGACGAGUGAUGAGCAAAGAGGUCCACACCAGGCUGGUGAAACCCACAGAAACAGCUGACCUGAAUAACGGGGAGCUCUUGCUCCCCAGACUGAUAGCUGGGAAACCAGCAUUGGACUGAUCCAGACCCCCUGAAUGUGGGUGUCAGUGAGGAGACCUUGGAAAUCUAUUGUAUUGGAUCAGUACUUAUCCCUAGCAUAGGAAUGGACUUUGGGAGCCCAUCCCACAUGGAGGGAUACUCCCUGAGCCUAGACACAAGGGUGUUAGCCUAGGCCCUAUCCCAAAGAAUAAGACAGACUUUGAAGACCCCCCUAUGGAAGGCCUCACCCUCCCUUGGGAGAAGAAAGAGUAUGGGAUAGGUAGGGUGUUAGUUGGGGGGGGGCAGGGGAGGAGGGGAAGGAAAGGGACCUGGGAUUGACAUGUAAAAUAAUUUUCUUUGUAAUUAAAAUAAAAAAAUAAAAAGAUCUCUCUCCCUUUCCUAUCAAUUGUGAACUGUGUAUAAAUCCUCAGGGAGGGAUGGGAUCCCAUAAGUCCUGACCUCAUGACAGGGUAUCAGUGGGCUCAGUCUUGUCCAGCUGAUGACGUGUCGUGUCAGUUCAAGUGUACAACAGCC